GAAAUGCGACAAGUAAUGUGAAUUGCAGAAUUCAGUGAAUCAUCGAAUCUUUGAACGCACCUUGCGCUCCUUGGUAUUCCUUGGAGCAUGCCUGUUUGAGUAUCAUGAAAUCUUCAAAGUAAAUCUUUUGUUAACUCAAUUGGUUUCUACUUUGGUAUUGGAGGUCUUUGCAGCUUCACACCUGCUCCUCUUUGUUCAUUAGCUGGAUCUCAGUGUUAUGCUUGGUUCCACUCGGCGUGAUAAGUUAUCUAUCGCUGAGGACACUGUAAAAGGUGGCCAAGGUAAAUGCAGAUGAACCGCUUCUAAUAGUCCAUUGACUUGGACAAUACUUUUAUGAUCUGAUCUCCAAUCAGGUAGGACUACCCGCUGAACUUAAGC
Molecule: unclassified non-coding RNA, 378 nt
Filed under: plant metagenome
Description: partial contains 5.8S ribosomal RNA, internal transcribed spacer 2, and large subunit ribosomal RNA
Rfam family: 5.8S ribosomal RNA (bases 1-105)
Source: RNAcentral